RNAcentral lists this transfer RNA (63 nucleotides) under Cryptopygus antarcticus travei. Its description in RNAcentral is "tRNA-Pro". Lineage: Eukaryota; Metazoa; Arthropoda; Collembola; Entomobryomorpha; Isotomidae. The record is from RNAcentral.
CAAGACUUAGUUUAAUAAAAAAUUUGGGCUUUGGAAGUUUAAGAUAGCUUUGGUUAGUUUUGA